This 69-nucleotide transfer RNA is filed under the name Ictidomys tridecemlineatus (thirteen-lined ground squirrel). RNAcentral's name for it is "Spermophilus tridecemlineatus (thirteen-lined ground squirrel) tRNA". It matches the Rfam family "tRNA". Rfam says of the family: Transfer RNA (tRNA) molecules are approximately 80 nucleotides in length. Their secondary structure includes four short double-helical elements and three loops (D, anti-codon, and T loops). The record is from Rfam by way of RNAcentral. Lineage: Eukaryota; Metazoa; Chordata; Mammalia; Rodentia; Sciuridae.
GGAAGUGUGGCUCAGUGGUAGAGUGCUUGCCUAGUAUGUGUGAGGCACUGGGUUCAAUUCUCAGCACCA